Molecule: long non-coding RNA, 1327 nt
Organism: Mus caroli (Ryukyu mouse)
Lineage: Eukaryota; Metazoa; Chordata; Mammalia; Rodentia; Muridae
Source: RefSeq, a predicted model, not a curated record
ACCAUCAUAACUCCUCCAGAGGCUGAGGCAGGAGGAUCACUGGAGCUCAGGAGUUCACGAAAAAAGGGGAGACAGGAAAGUAGGAGAGAGACAAGCUAGGAAGAAGAGUGGCUCCGUGGGAGAGGGGAUCCCCAGAGAUCAAGAAGUCUCAGAAUACACUGUGGUCCCAACAGUUCUUGUGCACAAAACCUGCCUGAAGCCAACACAGAAAGAAAAUAGUAGCCUGCCUAAAACAACCUGCUUCUUUGUUCUGCCUCACCUUGGACCCAAAGUAACAGAUCCAGACAACCUUGGAAGGAGCCCUCUGAAACCAGUUCCUGACAGACAUGAGUGGAUGAAAACUUAUACCAGGGGGUGAACAGCAUGCGAUGCUAAGAGCUUCGGCUUCUCGGGACAAGGGAAAGCUUGGCAGAGGUGGUGAGGUUUGCACCUGUCCUGGAAGGGUGAGUGGAGAAGGAGAAAAGGUGACACUGUGGGAGUCAAGCAGGCGUGGAGAUGGCUGGAGCCAAGAAGUGUGCGCACCCAUCUACUAGAGGACAAUUAAGCCAGAUGCUGCCGGCCUCACCUUUGACACACCCUGCAGCAACUCCAGCCUUGCUGGAAGUGUUCCUGCUGGUGACAUCAUGCCAGAGCCGGCCAGUUCCACGAAUCUAAGGACACAGUCCUCGAUUGUCCUUUGAGCCAUGCCCAAGUGAGUGUCUGCUGCAUGGUCCCUGUCAGCACCAGUUGGAGCCACCAGGAGCUCAGCCAGGCUUAUGCCCUGGAUGCUUGGCUGCAUCAGCACACUCCCUUAGGGGAGUGGGAAUGCCAUGUCACCUACACUCAUCAUGACCUCCUUCCUGUUAGCUGACUCCCUGAGAACCAGUGAUAGAGGUGGUAACUGUAGGCACAGGCAUGGGGAUGAGUGGAACCAUGUCUUGUAGGGUCCCCACAGCCUCUCUUUCAUGAGGGGUCUACCCUGGAAUCUACCAGUCUCUGUCCCUGUGUGUCAUUGAAUCUCUGAAUGCAGGUCUUUCUGAUCUGUGCAUGAAGGACCUCCUUCUAGUCUAGAACCUUGGUGCUAAGCCUCCUUCUCUUUCCACCCCAAGUGACAUCAGCUUUAUACUUAAUGCAUGCAGGGAUUGCAUUUAGGAUAUGAGGGCACUCAUGCCAGCAAAGCAGGCUUCUUGGGUUCAAAUCCCAUAUCUGCAAUUUCCUGGCUAAGUCAUCUUGAGCAGAUAACCUGCCCUAGUUUCUAUACACACUUAUUGGACUAGCCUAGGACCUAGCAAAUGAUUUCUGGAAAAGGCCAAUGUUUCAAUUACUCAACUGUGUUAAUUCAGCUUUU